Molecule: ribosomal RNA, 466 nt
Filed under: uncultured bacterium
Lineage: Bacteria
Description: partial 16S ribosomal RNA
Rfam family: Bacterial small subunit ribosomal RNA
Source: RNAcentral
GACGAACGCUGGCGGCGUGCUUAACACAUGCAAGUCGAACGGAAAGGCCCUGCUUUUGUGGGGUGCUCGAGUGGCGAACGGGUGAGUAACACGUGAGUACCCUGCCCUUGACUUUGGGAUAACUUCAGGAAACUGGGCCUAAUCCCGGAUAGGAGCCCUUCCGGCAGGGGGGGGUUGGGAAGGUUUGGGGGUUGGGGUUGGGCCUCGGGGUUUUCCGGUUUGUGGGGGGGGUGGGGGUUACAAAGGUUUUUGAGGGUGCCCGGCCUGGGGGGGGGACGGGCCCAAUGGGGCUGAGGAAAGGCCCCGAGUCCUACGGGGGGGAGCGGUGGGGGAUAUUGCCCAAUGGGGGGGAGCCUGAUGCAGCCACCCCGCGUGCGGGAUGAAGGGCUUCGGGUUGUAAACCGCUUUCGCCUGUGACGAAGCGUGAGUGACGGUAAUGGGUAAAGAAGCACCGGCUAACUACGUG